RNAcentral lists this long non-coding RNA (205 nucleotides) under Capsicum annuum. Its description in RNAcentral is "long non-coding RNA (CANN_LNC012800)". Lineage: Eukaryota; Viridiplantae; Streptophyta; Magnoliopsida; Solanales; Solanaceae. The record is from RNAcentral.
GGGGUGCAAGUCGUACAUAUACUACCUUAUCCGUCAUUCGGGGAUGAAUCUUUCUACUAGGGAAGACUGAAACACCCUAGAUUCCUGAACCAUAGAAAAUUUCCUAAAUUUUUAGUCUCUAUAUAGGAUACGGCUAAGGGGUACCAAUUGUAUGUUGGGCUAUGGUUCGUAUAGGGUAGUCGUAUGCUGACCAAUAUUGGUUGGU